GCUGGGCGUGGUGGCUCACACCUGUAAUCCUAGCACUUUGGGAGGCUGAGACAGGAGGAUUGCUUGAGCCUGGGAGAUCAGGGCUGCAGUGAGCUGGGAUCACACUACUGCACUCCACCCUGGGCAGCACAGCAAGAUCCUGUCUCAA
Molecule: unclassified non-coding RNA, 148 nt
Organism: Papio anubis (olive baboon)
Lineage: Eukaryota; Metazoa; Chordata; Mammalia; Primates; Cercopithecidae
Rfam family: Metazoan signal recognition particle RNA
About the family: The signal recognition particle (SRP) is a universally conserved ribonucleoprotein.
Source: Ensembl